UAUAUUCUUCUUUUUUAUUGGUCAUUAAAAAAGUUCCUCCCUCCUCCUCCCUCCUCCUCAGGUCCUCCUCCCUCCUCCUCCUCAGGUCGUCCCACCUCCUCCUCCCUCCUCCUCCUCAGGUCGUCCCACCUCCUCCUCCCUCCUCCCACCUCCUCCUCCCUCCUCCUCCUCAGGUCGUCCCACCUCCUCCUCAGGUCCUCCUCCCUCCUCCCUCCUCCCUCCUCCCACCUCCUCCUCCCUCCUACUCAGGUCCUCCUCCCUCCUCCCUCCUCCCUCCUCCCACCUCCUCCUCCCUCCUACUCAGGUCCUCCUCCCUCCUCCCUCCUCCCUCCUCCCUCCUCCCACCUCCUCCUCCCUCCUACUCAGGUCCUCCUCCCUCCUCCCUCCUCCCUCCUCCUCAGGUCCUCCUCCCUCCUCCUCCCUCCUCCUCAGGUCCUCCUCCCUCCUCCUCCCUCCUCCUCAGUUCGUCCCACCUCCUCCUCCCUCCUCCCACCUCCUCCUCCCUCCUCCUCCUCAGGUCGUCCCACCUCCUCCUCAGGUCCUCCUCCCUCCUCCCUCCUCCCUCCUCCCACCUCCUCCUCCCUCCUACUCAGGUCCUCCCUCCCUCCUCCCUCCUCCCUCCUCCUCAGGUCCUCCUCCCUCCUCCUCCCUCCUCCUCAGGUCCUCCUCCCUCCUCCUCCCUCCUCCUCAGGUCGUCCCACCUCCUCCUCCCUCCUCCCACCUCCUCCCUCCUCCUCCUCCUCAGGUCGUCCCACCUCCUCCUUAGGUCCUCCUCCCUCCUCCCUCCUCCCUCCUCCCACCUCCUCCUCCCUCCUCCCUCCUCCUCCUCCCUCCUCCUCAGGUCCUCCUCCCUCCUCCCUCCUCCCUCCUCCUCAGGUCCUCCUCCCUCCUCCUCAAGUCCUCCUCCCUCCUCCUCCCUCCUCCUCAGGUCCUCCUCCCUCCUCCCUCCUCCUCAGGUCGUCCCACCUCCUCCUCCCUCCUCCUCAGGUCCUCCUCCCUCCUCCCUCCUCCUCAGGUCGUCCCACCUCCUCCUCCCUCCUCCCACCUCCUCCUCCCUCCUCCUCCUCAGGUCGUCCCACCUCCUCCUCAGGUCCUCCUCCCUCCUCCCUCCUCCCUCCUCCCACCUCCUCCUCCCUCCUACUCAGGUCCUCCUCCCUCCUCCCUCCUCCCUCCUCCUCAGGUCCUCCCUCCCUCCUCCUCCCUCCCUCCUCAGGUCCUCCUCCCUCCUCCUCCCUCCUCCUCAGGUCGUCCCACCUCCUCCUCCCUCCUCCCACCUCCUCCCUCCUCCUCCUCAGGUCGUCCCACCUCCUCCUUAGGUCCUCCUCCCUCCUCCCUCCUCCCUCCUCCCACCUCCUCCUCCCUCCUCCCUCCUCCUCCUCCCUCCUCCUCAGGUCCUCCUCCCUCCUCCCUCCUCCCUCCUCCUCAAGUCCUCCUCCCUCCCUCCUCCCUCCCUCCUCCUCAGGUCCUCCUCCCUCCUCCCUCCUCCUCAGGUCGUCCCACCUCCUCCUCCCUCCUCCUCAGGUCCUCCUCCCUCCUCCUCCCUCCUCCUCAGGUCGUCGCACCCUCCUCCCUCCUCCCUCCCUCCCUCCCUCCCUCCCUCCCUCCCUCCCUCCCUCCCUCCUCCCUCCUCCCUUUCCUCCUCAGGUCCUCCCUCCCCUCCUCCCUCCUCCCUCCUCCUCAGGUCCUCCUCCCUCCUCCUCCCUCCUCCUCAGGUCCUCCUCCCUCCUCCCUCCUCCUCAGGUCGUCCCACCUCCUCCUCCCUCCUCCCUCCUCCUCAGGUCCUCCUCCCUCCUCCUCCCUCCUCCUCAGGUCCUCCUCCCUCCUCCUCCCUCCUCCUCAGGUCCUCCUCCCUCCUCCCUCCUCCCUCCUCCUCAGGUCCUCCUCCCUCCUCCUCCCUCCUCCUCAGGUCCUCCUCCCUCCUCCCUCCUCCUCAGGUCGUCCCACCUCCUCCCUCCUCCUCCCUCCUCCUCAGGUCGCGCACCUCCUCCUCCCUCCUCCCUCCUCCUCAGGUCCUCCUCCCUCCUCCUCCCUCCUCCUCAGGUCCUCCUCCCUCCUCCUCCCCUCCUCCUCAGGUCGUCCCACCUCCUCCUCCCUCCUCCCACCUCCUCCUCCCUCCUCCUCCUCAGGUCGUCCCACCUCCUCCUUAGGUCCUCCUCCCUCCUCCCUCCUCCCUCCUCCCUCCUCCCACCUCCUCCUCCCUCCUCCCUCCUCCCUCCUCCUCCUCCCUCCUCCUCAGGUCCUCCUCCCUCCUCCCUCCUCCCUCCUCCUCAGGUCCUCCUCCCUCCUCCUCCCUCCUCCUCAGGUCCUCCUCCCUCCUCCCUCCUCCUCAGGUCGUCCCACCUCCUCCUCCCUCCUCCCUCCUCCUCAGGUCCUCCUCCCCUCCUCCUCCCUCCUCCUCAGGUCCUCCUCCCUCCUCCUCCCUCCUCCUCAGGUCCUCCUCCCUCCUCCCUCCUCCCUCCUCCUCAGGUCCUCCUCCCUCCUCCCUCCCUCCUCCUCAGGUCCUCCUCCCUCCUCCCUCCUCCUCAGGUCGUCCCACCUCCUCCCUCCCUCCUCCCUCCUCCUCAGGUCCUCCUCCCUCCUCCUCCCUCCUCCUCAGGUCCUCCUCCCUCCUCCUCCCUCCUCCUCAGGUCCUCCUCCCUCCUCCCUCCUCCCUCCUCCUCAGGUCGUCCCACCUCCUCCUCCCUCCUCCUUUGGACGACACCCAAAGAGUCUGAACUCCAAGACACCUUGAAGCUGUGGAGGAACUGUGGUGGAUAG
Molecule: long non-coding RNA, 2757 nt
Organism: Scophthalmus maximus (turbot)
Lineage: Eukaryota; Metazoa; Chordata; Actinopteri; Pleuronectiformes; Scophthalmidae
Source: Ensembl